Long non-coding RNA from Ornithodoros turicata, 595 nucleotides. RefSeq lists it as uncharacterized. The record is from RefSeq and is a predicted model, not a curated record. Lineage: Eukaryota; Metazoa; Arthropoda; Arachnida; Ixodida; Argasidae. The transcript has 3 exons.
CGCGUCGAGACAACAUGCCAUGACUGAGGAAGGGGAGCCCCGAUACAGAGUGAAGGUAUCAAAAAUUUACAAGCAGGAGCAUGUUGCACUGCCCAUCAAAGAAGAACCAACGUUUCGUUACUUUGACGAGCUUGUAGACAAAUGUGUACAGCUGUGCAACACGUGGGACACAUUCAAUGGUGCUUUUGAGGCAUACUCAUGUAAUGAUCCACCAUUCCUGACAGAGACUAACCCUGCACCCCCAAAAACAGAAGUGAUUUCAGCACGGCAACAUCGACUGGGACCUUGCAGCUGCCUUCAGUGUACUCUCAAGGCCUAAAACCAGUGUAGCUGCCUGAGGGUGAUGGGAAGUUGUUCCGUAUCGCCAUCACCACACAUGACGGGAGCACCCGCCUGUCUUCUUCCGGAAGUGGUCCCCAUAUCCAUGAUGCAAAAUUGCGAUAUGCUAUGUGGCGCCAUAUUCUGAAAAACAACAAAGUGCACUGUCAGCUGUGAAAUGCCCACAAUUGCAUACUUACUUUACGUUGCUAGUGAACAUGUCAAAGAAUGGACAGAAAAUAGGAACAGUGAUUUUAUCUGUUACUGUAAGUGAUGU